RNAcentral lists this long non-coding RNA (885 nucleotides) under Equus asinus (donkey). Its description in RNAcentral is "lncRNA (ENSEASG00005034129.1)". The record is from RNAcentral. Lineage: Eukaryota; Metazoa; Chordata; Mammalia; Perissodactyla; Equidae.
ACAGAUGGCUUAUUAGGGAAGUUGCGGAGGAGCAAAGCCACUCUCCUCCUACUGACUACGUUUACUACGCCAGCCUUAUAGAUGAUUCAGAGUCUGCAGAACGCUGUCUUUCUACCUAGCCGAUUUCCCCCUAUGGAGGUCGGAGACGCCAGUUUCUCCUGUUCCACAUCGAGAUUUUCCUGACAAGCACCCUGGGGGACCCUAGAGGGCAGCAAUCCUGUCCUAUUCUUCUGUGUGUUCCUGUGCCCAGCCCAAGGCCCCCAGAUGGAAGCUGCACGGAGUGUUUACUGAUUGAAGGAACGAAUGGAGAAGGGGCUCAUCUCUUGCUAAUCUUGAAGACAGUGCACGUGCACUCACAUAAAAUAACUACUCCCUUCAGCUAUAUAGACGCAUUUGACGCCAUGUCAGUGGACAGCCCUACCAAAGCCAGAAGCAAAAAUUCCUCUGUGGAAAAGAUAUGCUGGGCCCUAAUUAGUGGCCCCGUAACCUGGACAAUAUAUCAAGGAAGAGGAGGGAGAGAAAAGAAAGACAGAUAGACAAGCACUUUGGAGUUCCUGAGGAGGUGAGCAGUAGUAAACUGUGGAUGGGAUGCUGGACCAGGCUGGAGGUCAAGAAAAGGUAUUUCAGCAGAGGGUUUCAAAUCCAAAGAGGAGAAGUUUCAGAUACUAUACUUUAUACUAUAGUUAUAUGAAGAGGCGACCAAAAGAUAUGUAGCCAAAAGUCAAGGAAAAAAGACCAGCUCUCCUGGUGUAUGAGAAGACCAGUGAAUCCCAUGACCAUUGGCCCACUGCUUUACUUCCUGACUGUAAAGUGAGUUCCUUGGGCAGAAACAGUAUUGUAUGGGUUGUUCUGAUGGCACUUAUUAAGUCCACUGAUAGUGGUCCU